Molecule: ribosomal RNA, 639 nt
Filed under: uncultured Ilumatobacter sp.
Lineage: Bacteria; Bacillati; Actinomycetota; Acidimicrobiia; Acidimicrobiales; Ilumatobacteraceae
Description: bacterial SSU rRNA
Rfam family: Bacterial small subunit ribosomal RNA
Source: RNAcentral
CGCGGCCUAUCAGCUUGUUGGUGAGGUAACGGCUCACCAAGGCAUCGACGGGUAGCUGGUCUGAGAGGAUGAUCAGCCACACUGGGACUGAGACACGGCCCAGACUCCUACGGGAGGCAGCAGUGGGGAAUAUUGCACAAUGGGCGCAAGCCUGAUGCAGCAACGCCGCGUGCGGGAUGAAGGCCCUAGGGUUGUAAACCGCUUUCAGCAGGGAAGAAAAUGACGGUACCUGCAGAAGAAGGUGCGGCCAACUACGUGCCAGCAGCCGCGGUGACACGUAGGCACCAAGCGUUGUCCGGAUUUAUUGGGCGUAAAGAGCUCGUAGGCGGUUCAGUUAGUCGGGUGUGAAAACUCUGGGCUCAACCCAGAGACGCCACCCGAUACUGCUGUGACUAGAGUACGGUAGGGGAGUGGGGAAUUCCUGGUGUAGCGGUGAAAUGCGCAGAUAUCAGGAGGAACACCAGUGGCGAAGGCGCCACUCUGGGCCGUAACUGACGCUGAGGAGCGAAAGCAUGGGUAGCAAACAGGAUUAGAUACCCUGGUAGUCCAUGCCGUAAACGUUGGGCACUAGGUGUGGGUCUCAACCAACGAGAUCCGCGCCGUCGCUAACGCAGUAAGUGCCCCGCCUGGGGAGUACGG